GGAGGGUGGGAGAAGCUAGGGGGGGGGUGCGAAGGCGAGAGAAAGAGAGCGAGGAAAAAUGGGAGGGGCGAGAAAGAAAUAGCUAUUUCUUUCUUGCCCCUCCCAUUUUUUCUCGCUCUUUCUCUCGCCUUCGCAUCCCCCCACUAGCUUCUCCCACCCUUGC
This 163-nucleotide microRNA precursor is filed under the name Paramuricea clavata. The record is from RNAcentral. Lineage: Eukaryota; Metazoa; Cnidaria; Anthozoa; Malacalcyonacea; Plexauridae.